GACGAACGCUGGCGGCGUGCUUAACACAUGCAAGUCGAACGGAAAGGCCCUGCUUUUGUGGGGUGCUCGAGUGGCGAACGGGUGAGUAACACGUGAGUAACCUGCCCUUGACUUUGGGAUAACUUCAGGAAACUGGGGCUAAUACCGGAUAGGAGCUCCUGCUGCAUGGUGGGGGUUGGAAAGUUUCGGCGGUUGGGGAUGGACUCGCGGCUUAUCAGCUUGUUGGUGGGGUAGUGGCUUACCAAGGCUUUGACGGGUAGCCGGCCUGAGAGGGUGACCGGCCACAAUGGGACUGAGAUACGGCCCAGUCUCCUACGGGAGGCAGCAGUGGGGAAUAUUGCACAAUGGGCGGAAGCCUGAUGCAGCAACGCCGCGUGCGGGAUGACGGCCUUCGGGUUGUAAACCGCUUUCGCCUGUGACAAAGCGUGAGUGACGGUAAUGGGUAAAGAAGCACCGGCUAACUACGUG
RNAcentral lists this ribosomal RNA (468 nucleotides) under uncultured bacterium. RNAcentral describes it as "partial 16S ribosomal RNA". It matches the Rfam family "Bacterial small subunit ribosomal RNA", at positions 28 to 507 of the family's 1533-position model. The record is from RNAcentral.